UUAUUCUCAAGAUUAACUGCUAAAUGCUUAUUAAUGUUCAAUGCUUAUUUCAUUUGGAUUGUAGCGUGCUUCAUGUAAUUGGGCAGGAUGUUUAACCCUCUAAAUCUGGUCUAAAGGAUACUUUAUUUAAUUGGGCAGGAUGUUAGUGAAAGCGUGUAUAUUUAACAUUUUAAUUUUUUUGAUAAUUUUAAUUUUAUAUCUUUAUUUAAGUGAGACCGGGUCAAUCGGUUCAACCAUUGAUCUGCCCGAUAGACUGAUCGGUUCGAUAAACGGUUCAGUUCUAAUAACUAUGCAUUCAAUUCCUCACUGCAACCCCAUUUCCCCUGAACCCUCUCUUCUGCGUCUUCCUUCACUUAUUAUUAUUACUAUUAUUAAUUAAUUAUUUCUCACAAAAGGUUCAUGUCUGGUUGUUGAUUAGGGGUUGGUAUUCUCUGUGUUAGCCUUUUAUCUUGUCCAGAGAAACUUCUAGAUUGUUCUAGAAGGAAGCUGUGGUUCUUGUAUGAGUGUGUGGGCAUGGAUAUAGUUGAAUCAGUGAGAAAGAUUCCUUUGCAAGACCCACCCGAGGAAGAUUUCUGUGCUGCUGAUUUGACUUGGACCAAGUUUGGCAAUGCUGAGCACCAUGACGAGGUUGCCCUUAUUCCCUAUGACCGAGUUGAUGCUUUUAUAAUUGGUGAGUGCUCUAAUGUUGAGUGGCCUACUCGCUUCCAUAUUGAGCGCGGAAGGAAGCGAGCUAUUGGUAGCUUGAAGGAGUAUAAGGAUGAUGAGUAUCUUGAGUACAGGCUGUACUGGUGCUCAUUCGGACCAGAAAAUUAUGGGGAGGGUGGAGGUAUAUUACCCAGUCGAAGGUAUCGGCUUAAUACCAGAAAUCGUGCUGCUAGACCUCAAUCAAUGCGGGGUUGUACUUGUCAUUUUGUUGUCAAACGUCUUUAUGCACGUCCAUACCUAGCACUUAUCAUAUACAACGAAAGGCGCCAUAUUAACAAGUCUGGUUUUGUUUGCCAUGGACCACUUGAUAGAGAUGCCAUUGGUCCUGGUGCCAAAAAUGUUCCAUAUAUAUGUAAUGAAAUUCAGCAGCAAACUAUGUCUAUGAUUUAUUUGGGCAUUCCUGAAGAGAAUAUCCUGGAGAAACACAUUGAGGGAAUUCAGCGAUAUUGUGGUUCGGAUGCAAAAGUUAAUAGUCUUGCCUCUCAAUAUGUUCACAAGCUAGGGAUGAUUAUCAAAAGGUCUACCCAUGAGCUGGAUCUAGAUGAUCAAGCCAGCAUUCGGAUGUGGGUUGAACGGAACAAAAAGUCUGUAUUCUUUUAUCAAGAUACUUCGGAGUCAGAUCCUUUUGUUUUGGGGAUCCAAACAGAAUGGCAGUUGCAACAGAUGAUUCGUUUCGGUCAUUGCAGUGUUGUUGUGGCAGACUCAACCUUUGGCAUAAAGAGACUCAAAUAUCCCUUGUUCACGCUUCUUGUUUUUGAUUCAAGGCAACAUGCACUUCCUGUCGCAUGGGUCAUUACACGUAGCUUUUCAAAGCCUGACAUGUCAAAGUGGCUGAAUGCUUUAAUUGAUAGAGCUCAUAGUGUUGAACCUGGAUGGAGAGUUAGCGGCUUUGUGAUUGAUGAUGCUGCGGCUGAAAUUGAUCUUUUAAGAGACAUAUUUUGCUGUCCAGUCCUAUUUUCACUGUGGCGCAUUCGUAGAUCAUGGCUAAGGAAUAUUGUUAAGAAAUGCUGUAACAUUGAGGUUCAACGGGAGAUUUUUAAGCGUCUUGGGGCAAUAGUGUAUAGUAUCUGGGGUGGUGUUAAUACAUCGCUUGCGUUGGAACAAUUUUUGCAGGACUUUGUUGACCAAACUGAUUUCAUGGAAUAUUUCAGAGCUUCUUGGUUACCAAAGAUUGAAAUGUGGCUUUCAACAAUGAGAAAUUUUCCGCUAGCCAGCCAGGAAGCUUCUGGAGCAUUAGAAGCAUAUCAUGUUAAACUGAAAGCUAAACUUUUUGAUGAUUCACAUCUUGGAGCACUGCAAAGAGUAGAUUGGUUAGUCCACAAGCUAACAACUGAGUUGCAUUCGAGCUACUGGCUCGAUCGCUUUGCUGAUGAGAGUGAUUCGUUCCAGAGUGUGAAGGAGGAAUACAUUGCUUCUACGUCGUGGCACCGAGCACUUCGAAUCCCCAACAAUGCCGUUACUUUCAAUGAUAAAGACCGCUUCUUUGCCAAAGUUGUUAGCCAGAAAGAGAGCAAAUUGACACGUAUAGUGUGGAAUCCAGGAUCUGAAUUUGCAUUCUGUGAUUGUGCUUGGUCAAUGCAAGGUAACCUUUGCAAGCACGUCAUAAAAGUAAACAUGGUCUUUGAAAACAUCAAAGGUUGUCAACCAUCCAUGUCAUUGAAAUCAUUUGAAGACAUUUUGAUAGAUCUAUGGAGAAAACCAGUGGAUGGUUCCAUUGCAUUGGAUCUGUCUCUAGCUUGGACGCAGCAGAUCCUAGAUCAAAUCGAAAAACUCGUCGAACUGAAUAACUCGCCGGAUAUUGGCACUGUUGUUAACAAAAUGCCUUUGAAUUGGGUUUCUAAGAAAGGUCGAACCUACACCGGCAAACCAACGUUGCGUUACACUCUUCCACCGGCUAACAGCAACCCCAAAAGUUUGAUUGUAUACAAGAGGAGUCGCAAAAGGAAAAGAUUAUCACAAUUAAGAUGAUCCUGAAUUAGCACAAAUCGAGUUUAUUCAGGAAGUUGCCGAAUCGGCCCUUGUACCUGCAAAUAUCUAGUUGUUGGCAACGAAAAUGGAGCAGAAGAGAGAAGGUAAGUUGGUAGACUAAAGAGAGCAGAAUGCAAUGUUUCAGGGUUUGAGAGAGUGACAAUGAAAGAGGUUACAUAAAGACGUUUGCAAUGAUUUGUGUAGAUUUGAUGCUGAAGAAGAGUGGCGGAGAAGCAAAAAGGGUUUUAAUGUUCUUGGGGCAAAUUUCUAAAUCAUUUUAAGUGAAACACCCAAAAAGCAAAUAAAUAUAUAAUAUAUUCAAUUUCGUAGUUAACUUAUUUUGGAACUAAAAUCCAAUACCAACUAGAUGAAUGAAAACACACAAGCAUAGUGGGUGGACUGUUUAUAUAAAAUUGAGUCCUGCUAGAGAGUUAAUAGAAUAUUUAUACAAUGUGUAUAAUGGGCUAUUGAGUUAAAAAAUAAACAUCACCCAUACUAUCCAGAAUAACCAUCUGAGUAUUAGGGAUAAUAAACAUCUCAUGUCAUGAAAUCACUCAUCAUUCUUGACUUUUCGGAUCUAGAACUCUGAUACCAUGUCAUCAUACCACUCAUCCGAAAAACUUCCGUUGAUGGGAAAAGAUAACACUAAUGGUUAUAUCUCUAAUACUGAAUCGGAUAUCCAUAAACUUUCAUUAUACAUGUAUAAAUAUUCCAUUGAUUUCCUAUACUUCUAUAAAAUUUGCGGUAUGUUUUUCCCUUGAAGUUGAAGGCAUAAUAGCAGAGAAUUCAAAGACAUGCAAAUGUGGUGACACCAAAACAGAGGAACAAAGAAAAGUUUUGAGGCAUCCGGAGAGAACUAGAAAACAAGUGAAAGACAAGAUUGGGCUAGGCAAAGUAGAAUAAACGGAAUAGGGUCUAUCACAACGUCUGGCUUGGUCGGUAGAAGAUGCAGAGUUGGAGAUGAAAAGUACAGGGUCGUAUGUUUGUUUAAGCGAAAGAUCUUUUAGUAAAUAUUUUACGAAAUAAAUGGAUAAGAUUUACUGUAACUUUAUAUUACUGCAAUGGAACCGAACUCGUCUAUCCUGGUACGAAGAAUUUUAAGUGUAUUAGGUA
Molecule: RNA transcript, 3786 nt
Organism: Arachis stenosperma
Lineage: Eukaryota; Viridiplantae; Streptophyta; Magnoliopsida; Fabales; Fabaceae
Exons: 6
Source: RefSeq, a predicted model, not a curated record